RNAcentral lists this ribosomal RNA (777 nucleotides) under Rhizammina sp. 2 MH-2016. RNAcentral's name for it is "bacterial SSU rRNA". It matches the Rfam family "Eukaryotic small subunit ribosomal RNA", at positions 1160 to 1678 of the family's 1831-position model. Lineage: Eukaryota; Foraminifera; Astrorhizida; Astrorhizidae. The record is from RNAcentral.
AAGGGCACCACAAGAACGCGUGGAGCAUGUGGCUUAAUUUGACUCAACGCGGGAAAUCUUACCGGGUCCGGACACACUGAGGAUUGACAGGUAAUAAUAUGUCGUUCUGACAUAUUAGUAAAUAUGCUAGUCCUUUCAUGAUUAUGUGGUAGGUGGUGCAUGGCCGUUCUUAGUUCGUGGAGUGAUCUGUCUGCUUAAUUGCGUUUCGCAAAGGACUUAAAAUAUAAGUGUGCUGUACGGUCUCACGACUGUACACGUGCAUAUUAAGUUCUGAAAGCAACGAACGUGACCGCAUCCUCUUGUUGCCUUUUAACAAAGCAUUGCUAUGCUUUAACAAAAGAGUGCUUUAUAAAACUAGAGGGACCGCUGCGACUUUUUUAAACCAGAGGAAGGUUGCGGCAAUAACAGGUCUGUGAUGCCCUUAGAUGUUCCGGGCUGCACACGUGCUACAAUGAUUAUUGCAGUGAGCAUCUCUUAAAAAAACUGCCUUCGUGCAGUUAACGCCUACUUCGAAAGUUCGUAGGUAAUCAAUUGGAAGUAAUGAUUUCCCAAUUUAGUUUGUGAGCACACAAUAUGCUGCUCCCUUCUGUUGCAGUUAGCGUAGUCUUUCUGCAAUCUCAGUUGGGAUGUUUUCAGCAUGUGCUUUUUGUCAAUUCAUGGUGGGGACAGACCAUUGUUAAUUGUUGGUCUCGGUCUUAACUAGGAAUGCCUUGUACGGGUCUUUGGUUCAACAAACCACCCGGAAUACUCCCUGCCCUUUGUACACACCGCCCGUCA